This 253-nucleotide ribosomal RNA is filed under the name uncultured bacterium. RNAcentral describes it as "partial 16S ribosomal RNA". It matches the Rfam family "Bacterial small subunit ribosomal RNA", at positions 524 to 776 of the family's 1533-position model. The record is from RNAcentral.
UACGUAGGGGCCGAGCGUUGUCCGGAGUUAUUGGGCGUAAAGCGCGUGUAGGCGGCUUUGCAAGUCGGGUGUGAAAGCCCUCAGCUCAACUGAGGAAGUGCGCCCGAAACUGCAGAGCUUGAGUGCCGGAGAGGGUGGCGGAAUUCCCCAAGUAGAGGUGAAAUUCGUAGAUAUGGGGAGGAACACCGGUGGCGAAGGCGGCCACCUGGACGGUAACUGACGCUGAGACGCGAAAGCGUGGGGAGCAAACAGG